CAUAUUGAGUCUUGAGUUACUAAUGUCGCUGCACUUUCAUCUGCAUUGCUUACAUGUUUUUAUUACACCAGCUAUUGGCUACAGAUUUUCGCAUUUCAUAUGUAUGUAUCCAUAUUAGAGGAUUUAUCACAUUAGGACAUUGUGUGGAACAGAUCUGAAGAUGGUUGUCACUGACUGAUCACAAUAUAAAGUCCUUCGAAGACCCGUUUGGAAGAGUGGAAUAAACAUUUGACAGUACCUGGAUCACUGCUUCUAUUGGCGACUGUCGUAGCUCGUGAAUCGGUACAUAGUUACUGGGUGUGGCUGAGUGCAUGACAUGAAUUGUCAUCUGUGGAAGAUUUAUGGAAGAAAGCAGCCCAUACUGCCAUUUUUGUUUCCUCAAGGUCAUUUUUAUUUGGUCUUACGGCUUGUCCAUAAUAAUACUGGAACCUGUCUAUAUGUAAACUGAAGACUGCAUAUUACACUAUGCAACCAUUAAAAUGUAAAUCAAAUGAAAAUAGCACAUUGGAACUGAUAGGAAAUGGCUGAUUGCGAAUAUCACAAAGACAAUUCAAAAUUAGCUCUAUUUUUCGUUUUACUAUGUUUUAAGUUGAAAAUCAAAUAUUAUAAUGGCUUGUCAGUCAUAACUAGUGACAAUGAAGCAUGUUGUCCAUGUUCUUACUUGUGUGCAAUAUUUUGGGUAUAAACAUUUUGAUACCAA
Long non-coding RNA from Schistocerca nitens (vagrant locust), 700 nucleotides. RefSeq lists it as uncharacterized. Lineage: Eukaryota; Metazoa; Arthropoda; Insecta; Orthoptera; Acrididae. The transcript is spliced from 3 exons. The record is from RefSeq and is a predicted model, not a curated record.